Aegilops tauschii subsp. strangulata is the source of this 3890-nucleotide RNA transcript. RefSeq lists it as uncharacterized. The record is from RefSeq and is a predicted model, not a curated record. Lineage: Eukaryota; Viridiplantae; Streptophyta; Magnoliopsida; Poales; Poaceae.
CCAGAUCGUUAGAAGCCCAGCCGAGCCAGGGAUCAGAUAAGGUGUCCCCGUUCUGAGUAGGUCUUGGCGGCGGCGCUCGUGCUGCACCGGCGGCCACGCGAAAAAAAUGGAGGGUUCUGGGCUGAAUUUCCUGCUCGACGUCGAUGACAGGUUCCCAUUGCGAGAGGAGUACGCCAACAACAUUGGGCAGCCAGAUCCGGUUCCUAUGGUCUUCUUGUCCAACAAUGGAGCUGGCCUUGCCGUUCCUGAAGACUCGAAUGAUGGGUCUGAGUGAGCUCAGCAGCUCGGCGGCGAUGGGACUGGUAGAGAAGGAGUUGGUGUCCGCCGGCAUCCGGAUGCAUCUCGGUCAGCGCAGUCGACUGACCGAGUUAAUCUGGAGGCACAUAGAUGGACGAAAAGAUUAACUGGAUGAAUGUAAAUUAUGUUUGUAGGAAGAGAUGCUGGGUGGAGCUGUCAGGAGGACGAAUUUGGGGACAGAGCAUCAUGCAAGUAAAGUUAGUCUAGAGCUAUGUUUGAGGAGUUUGGUCGCCUGCUGAUUGAAGGGAUGUCGUACAAUGUGAAGGAAGUAGAGAAGAUGAGGAAAUAUGUUGCAACACACAACAAUGCAGCCAAAAGAGAUAAAUGGAGCAGAGUGGAGUGUGAGGUGAACAUAAAUGAAGAUCAAUCAGAGUUUAUAUGUGAAUGUGGCCAUUUCGAGCAUACUGGGAUGCUAUGCAGCCAUGUUUUAAGGGUGAUGGAUAUACUUCAUCUGGAGGAAAUCCCUGUGAAACACAUACUCAAGCGGUGGAACACGGACGCGAGGGACAUACUUCUUCAACAUCUGGUGCAUGACCAGAAGGACCAUUCAGUGAACUUAUCCUUCACUUGCAGGAGCUCGAUGCUAUACCAGAAAGCCAUGGAAGUUGAACAGAUGGGCGAUGCUAGUGCAGAAUCAUUCGAGCACACGUUUGCUGGCCUGGAAGCUUUGUUGGUGAGUGGCGCACCUUUAGCACAGAAGAGGGAUGGUUCGGGCUUUGAGGACCUUAUGGCAAGUUUGGGCAGUGGUAGAUUUCCUGGAAAUGGGAGGCUGUGUUUGUUGGGGGCAACGGGCCUGACCAAUGCAAUAGUGGUGGGCACUCUGUUAGUGUGAAUGCAUCUAGCAGCUCCAGAAAAACAUAGACGGGUCGACAGUCUGACAAAUAGCAGGGAGAAGGCGCCAUACGAGGGCCUGAGUAAGCAUAAGUUUUGCAGCAUCUGUCAGCACAAGGGGCACAAGUGUACUAUCACCUAUCAGCCCAGAAAGAGGGGAUGUUCCCAAGAAACCACGGAAACCAGGGGAGUGCGAAAACUGCGUUAUGGAAGGGCGCCGCCAGAACAGUUGCACGAGGCCACUCAGUGCUGCUGAGAAAUGAGUUUUGAAUGUUUAAUUUCUACUCUGCAUUAGCUGUAUUGUAGUUCUUUUGAGGAUUUUCUAGUGUGUGUUUCAGAGAGAAUUGCUCCACGCUUGUUCCUCGGAUAUCAGAGGCGUCUUACACGAUGUAACACUGGAGUGACACGUUCUUUGUUACUAAAUUUGGAUAAUUGAUCGUUAGAACUACUGCUUUGUCCUGUUGGCAUAGUUCCAGCUCGUCCCUGAAUCAUAUUUGUGGUCGCCACCAAAAAGAUAGUGUUUUAAGUCUUAGGUUCAGAUCAUGGACUUGCAUGCUGAAUGUGGUUGGUGCUGAUACUUGGAUAGCAUGCAGGAUACAACAGUUUGCUUGCCCGGUGAUUGGGAGGCUGUUCACCCAGGUAGAUUCAAAAUUUAAACUGGUAGAAGGAGUAGUUCACAGGAUGUCAUCCCUCAAAGCAGUAUAAGAGUAUACCGUCCGGCAGCUCGCCUGCUGCCUUCCACCAUUGUUCAACAUUCAAACCAUUAUAAGCUAGCGUUGCUUGUAAUGGCACGACGAUGAGAUCCGAAGGUGGUGGCUCUGGCGGCGGAUUGGAGACUCGGGUGAGAAAGUUUGCUAUUGUCUAAACGAAUUGGUAGGGAAUGAAAGGGUGGAGGAAGUCUGACGGGACGGGGAGGAAGGAUGAAGAGAAGGCAGACAUGGCAGCAGAAUGCAAAGUGAGUAAGAACAAACGGGGGUGUUGAUAUUUUUGGGGUAUGGUUUGGUGCAGUUGAGGGUGUGGGGAGAUGCAUUUAAGACGGCCUCGUUUGUGAGUCCGUCCGCGUGAACGGCUCAGGCGGGCUCAUAAAAAGUUUCUGAGCCGUGUAAGGUGUACCUGGUCCGCGUGAACAGCGCGACGUGUGGUCGCAUUCAAUGCGCGACUGUGCUGUCUUAAAUAAAAGGAUAUACGAUCUAUAAAUACAGAGCAGAGCACAGAUCUGCAUGCAAUCUUGUGGUGUGGAUUUCGGGAGUAUCUGAGCUCGAGCUCAGAAACGAAUAUUCCAUCUUUUCCCUCUUUCUUUUCCUUGUUCUCUUUCUCGUCGACUCCCAUCAUUUCUUCAUAUGUCUAAGCAUGUUCCUCCUCAUCCUCCUCGAUUUCUAAAGUGGUGAGCCUCAUUAUUGGGACUGUUAUAUCCAUCCGGAGUUUGAUUCUCAUGAAUUUACCCAUGGCAUUUCCAUUAUCAUCCAUGUCUAUAUCCAAGACCUCUCCAAUUUGUUCUCCCACCAGACUCCCUACCUCUGUGUUCAUCAUUCCCAAAGGAAUACCAUAUGCUCUAACCCAUAUGGGGAUAGUCUUAUAUUCAUACUCAUCAAUUGUUUUGCUUGGCAUAAAAUCUUCCAUCACUAAUAACUCCUUAUUAAACGACCACGGUCCAUUAUUUAAAGCCUUCCUUUUACUAUCUUCUUCAUGGAACGAGAAAAGGAAUCGAUUCCUAUUCAAAUCCUUACAAUCCACUCCAGUGAAAGGGCUCCAGAUGCUGCCUAACGUUCUUCCUAAAUAUUCUGCUUUAGCUGGUCUUUCAGAGAAGAGCUUACCCACAGCCCGGAGCUUUCCCACCGUCGAUGAGCAGGUGUGUUUCCUUCCAAUCUUUAUGCUUCUCUUUUCUGCAUCUGACAGCUUCAAACUCUACAGUUUCUCGUCUACCCAGUCCAAAACAGGGGCCGUCCUGUCGCCCAUGGCAACCCCGCCUAGCUGGAGAUUCUGGGCUUGUGUCGCCACACCAAACACCGAUAAUCGCCCCGCCACCGCUGCAAGAAACUAGAGUGGCUCCUGCGGUGCCUUGAAUCAAGGGCUUCGGACGAGAGGGAGUUGGCUUGGGAUGGAGAGAGCUAGUCAGGGGCGUGAAGAUCUUGCUUGGAUCUCGUUGAUGCUUCGCCGGACCAGCACAACGCGUUGGAAUCUUAGAGAUUCGGUGGAUUUGAGUCUGAAGAUUGACGGCAAGAGCUGCCGACACUGGUCGCUGUGGAGUUGCCACAGAAGUCGCGGGAAACGAACCGAACCGUCACGAACGGACGAACUUCUUCCUGUCCCGUUUUGGACUGCACUAUUCACAUCCAGUUUAGUUGUUUAUUAAGUUUAUUACAAGACCGGUGACCCUCGCCCGCGAUAAAUAAAGAGCCAGAGUCUCCAAGAGUCGAAGCUUGUUUAAUUUCGUCAUAUGUAAAGCUCGCUCUUGGUAAUGCCUGCAGCAGAGACCAGACCUCCACAAAGAUAUUCCAGAUAUUCACGCAUGCUUUCUCCAUGCGUUCCAUGCGGCCGCCGCCCGUGAACGCGUGGUGCUGCUGGCGCUCAUUGGGCGCGAAACAAUGACACUGCCUGCACGACAGCCAGUGGCCUGAGAACAUAGCGCUCCGGCUGUACCGUGUGCUGCACAACUGUCGGAUUGAAAAUCUAGGUACAGGAUGGAGUGUGGAGGACUCAUCUUGUCAAAUUUGCAGAAAGCCCCCCAUAUAGAUACAGAAUGACCAAGGUUUAAUACAAUA